Long non-coding RNA from Homo sapiens (human), 1190 nucleotides. RefSeq lists it as uncharacterized. The transcript is spliced from 5 exons. Lineage: Eukaryota; Metazoa; Chordata; Mammalia; Primates; Hominidae. The record is from RefSeq and is a predicted model, not a curated record.
UUUCUUUUUUUCCUAAGUUUAUUAGAGCCCCUCUCCUUAACUUCAGUGUUCCUUCAGCUGACUCUGCCUCUUCAAUGACUCUCCCACCAUGGCCAGGCUAACAGUGUGUGCUUUAACAGGGAUGGUGGUGACACCCCACGCUCAGACUGAGAUGAUGACGUAAGGAAGUAGUCACAAGGCAGUAUGGAUAGCAGGCAAGAACUGGGGUCCCGGGGCCGCACUGCCUGGAUUCCAAGCCUGAUUUUGCAUGCAUGACUUGAGACUUCAGGGGCAAGUCCAGCCAGUCAGCAAGCCACCUGAAUUUACAGGAGUGACAUUUCCACGUUAUUCAAAUUCAAAACAAGCCUACUCGGUGAACCUCAGCCCCAAGGAAUUCACAGUGCUCUACAUCGACUCCCAAUUUGCAAUUCUAGCAUCUCACUGAGACCAGGCAGUACAGAAAGAGACCUUGUGUUUUGUGACAAGUUCUUCUUUCAAGUCUUCAUGCUCAAAGAGAAUUGACUACAGAGUGUCAGGUGUCCUUCAGCUGAGAUUUAACAAGCAGUCAUCACAACUCCAUCUUUCUCCCUCACGAAACUGUUUCUCCUGAAUGCCCAUGAAAAUGUUAUCACAUAGGAAAUAUUUGUGAGACCUGAUCUCUAAUAAUUAUCAGCACUGAACGACUUUUGAAUGAAGAAAAUGGUAAGAAUUAUCUCAUCUCUUAGGAUUCUUCUAUUUGGUAACUAUUAAUACAUUUGCUAAUUUUUUCAUUUACUAGCAACAAAUACAAGUUUGCAAUGGUUUAAUGUUUACCUUUUUAAAAAUAACACUUUGGUUUUCAGUGUGUUGAAAGGAGAAAGCAAAAAGCGAUUGUAUUUUUAAAAGCUUUGGUGUAUUGUCACUGAGAAAUGAACUGGACCAGCCAUAUUCCCAAAUUUGUUUUUUUAAACAAGUGGUAAAUGGUAAUUAAGUAAUCCACCUUGAACAACAUUUCAAGUUUUACGUUUAUUCAGGAUGCUAUGGCCAAGAUGGCUCCCAGACAGUUUUUUUCACUAAAGAUUACAUUUUUGCAACAAUUUUCAUUGUGUUGGUCAACUUGUGAGCAAGAAUCAUAGUUUGGAGACUUUGACUUCAAAAACACCUCAAAACUUGGUUUCUUCUGCUUCAAGAUUAGUAUAUCAACUAAAAUGAUUUAAGAAAAAAUGAGUGAA